RNAcentral lists this long non-coding RNA (3797 nucleotides) under Triticum aestivum (bread wheat). RNAcentral's name for it is "long non-coding RNA (TAES_LNC020240)". The record is from RNAcentral. Lineage: Eukaryota; Viridiplantae; Streptophyta; Magnoliopsida; Poales; Poaceae.
UCAACGCAUGCAAGUGCACCUUAUCUAAUCUUUCUUCAUCUUUUUAAGAGGGAAAGGCCUGUCCGCCAGUCCGUCUCUAGUGCCUUUCAUUCAACAUUAGAGGAGUACAAAAUGUAAACCGGACCGCGAGAGAACUAAAGUUACAGAAUAGUCCUUAAAAUUUACAAAAAGGACCCUAAAACAUAAAAUGGAAAAGCAAUCAGGUCCUUCUUCUUCACUGCAGAGGUCUGCUCGCCCAACCGUCCAGCUCGAUGCCCACCGCGCCACUCUAUCGUGCUCAGCUUGCCGCGCCGCCGCCCUGUCCUGCUCGUCGCGCCGCCGUGUGGACCCGCUCAGCUGCGCGGCUCCGUCCCAGCCACGCUCGGGAGGCAUGCAAGGGAGUCGGGGAUGGGCGGUGCUCGCCAGGCGGAGUCCUCGGCUGCUAUCGCGGCGGAGCUCGCGAGUUGGGCACGGGACCUCAAGGCCAGGGCUGGUGCCGGGGGUGGAGGCCGGCGGAGGCCUGCGGGGGUGACGGGGCCGGGGCCGCCGGUGGCCAGCGGGGGCGACGGGGCGUGGAGGCUGCCGGGGGCGACGAGCGACGGGGCUUGGAGGCCGGCGGAGGCCUGCGGGGGUGACGGGGCCGGGGCCACCGGGGACGACGAGCGACGGGGCUCAGAGGCCGGCGGGCGAGACGAUGGCCAGCGUUGCCCGGGCCGGCCGGCGAGAUGGCGGCCAGCGAGGUGGAGGUGGGCGCCGGCAGGCCUACGGUGGCGACGGGGGAAGUGGCCGCGGCCACCAGGCAAAGUGGUUGCCGGCGAGGCAGGGAACGGGGGGUGAGCUGUUGGCCGGAGCCGGUGGUCGAGGUGGUGCGGGCGCCGGUCGGUUUGCUCGAUGGACCGAGAGGGAGAGAAACGAGAGGGAGAGAGAAACGUGCGGUGGGGAUGGGGAUAAGGUAGACAGGACGUGGGGCGCGUGGGUGCUACCUGGGGGCGUGUGCAUCGUGGGUGGGUGGUGUGUGGACGGCCUGGUGGGUGGGAUGUGUGUCUACGAUGUUGCCAAGUCAUCGAUCCAUGUGAUCGAUACAUGUGAUGUGCUUUCUCUUUGCCGUCUGCAACAAAAAAUACAGACGGCAUAGAGCUCACUUUGCCGUCUGCAAAACAAAACACAGACGGAAAAUAAUCUUUGCCGUCUACGGAAAAAAUAUAGACAGCAAAGAAUCUUUGCCGUCUGUGAUUUUUGUUGCAGACGGCAAAGUGAGCUCUUUGCCGUCUGUGAUUUUUCUCGCAGAUGGCAAAGUUUAUUUUCCCGUCAGUUUUUCUUUGUCGUCUGGUGAUGCCAGCAAACCCUUUCUUUGCCGUCUGCCUGACGAAAAGCUGACGACAAAUUAUCUGUUUCCCGUAGUGGGAGUGACAGAGGUCUAUGGAAAAUGUGACUUAAGUCCGCAUGCUGCUGUGCCUGUACCAGAGUGAUGUCUUUAUUGAGCAAAAGAGUGUAGUUUAGGGAACAAUGUGAUUAGAGGGCUAUUCAUCCACUUAUCUAUCCUGAGCAUUAUUGUAUCUCCUCUACCAGCUUUGCACUUUGUAUGCUCUUUGAAUGUGGGCAACAGUUUCAUUACAGAUUUCCACCAGAAUGAACCAAUAAAUCUAUCUCCUGGUAAACUCUCCUAGUAAUAUGUCUCCCAAAUAAUAUUAACCCAUGGAAUGUCUUCUCUAUUGAAGAAUUUGUGCAGAAAUUUCAUGAGCAGGGCUUGAUUAUGAACCUGAAGAUCUAAAACUCCCAAGCCACCAUGGGAUUUAGGUAGACAAACUUUAUUCCAGGAGAUCAGUACCAUGCCUCUGUCAUGAGUUACACAUUUCCUCCAAAAGCAGUUCAUCAGGUAGGAGUUAAUUUGUUUAAGCACAGUCUUUGGGAUCAUGAGAGUACACAUGAAAAAGGUUGGCAUGCUUGUAAAGACUGACUUGAGUAGUGUGAGCUUAUCUCUAGUAGAUAACAUUGUGGAGCAGCUAAGCAAUAUGUUUUCUGUUCUCUUCAACAUUGGCAUAUAGUCUUCAACUUUUGGUUUGGUAGAGCCCAGGGGAAGUCCCAAGUAAGUGUGAGGCCAACAUCCAAUUUUACACUCAAGCAGAGUACAUAGUUCCAGCAUUUUCUCUUGAGGAGUAUUAAUAGAAAUAAUUGUGUAUUUUGAGUAAUUGAUUUGCAGACCAGAGAAUUCAGCAUAGUGAAAGAGCAUAUUUUUGAUAUGUUGAACUUGUCUGUGGUCAGCCUGGGCCACAAGCACAGUAUCAUCAGCAUAUUGAAUAAUGGGGAAAUCAGAAGAAGAGUUGUGUUGCAGAGGUGGAUGCACCAUGGCAUUUCUCACGACUUCAUUAAGCAUGCUUUAUGAUACGUCUCCAACGUAUCUAUAAUUUUUGAUUGUUCCAUGCUAUUAUAUUAUCAACCUUGGAUGUUUUAUAUGCAUUUAUAUGAUAUUUUAUAUGAUUUUUGGGACUAACCUAUUAACCUAGAGCCUAGUGCAAUUUCUGUUUUUUCCUUGUUUUAGAGUAUAUCGCAGAAAAGGAAAAUCAAACGGAGUCCAAUUGACCUGAAACUUCACGGAACUUAUUUUUGGAACGGGAGCAAUCCAGGAGACUUGGAGUAGACGUCAGGGAAGCUUCGAGGGAGGCACGAGGCAGGGAGGCGUGCCCUACCCCCCUGGGCGCUCCCACCACCCUGGUGGGCCCCUCGUGGAUCCCCUGACCGACUUCUUUCGCCUAUAUAUGUCCAUAUACCCUAAAAACAUCGUGGAGCAGAAUAGAUCGGGAGUUCCGCCUCCAGAAGCUCCGUAGCCACCGAAAACCAAUCUAGACCCGUUCCGGCACCCUACCAGAGGGGGAAUCCCUUUUCGGUGGCCAUCUUCAUCAUCCCGGCGCUCUCCAUGACGAGGAGGGAGUAGUUCACCCUCGGGGCUGAGGGUAUGUACCAGUAGCUAUGUGUUUGAUCUCUCUCUCUCUCUCUCUCUCUCUCUCGUGUUCUUGAGGUGGCACGAUCUUGAUGUAUCACGAGCUUUGCUAUUAUAGUUGGAUCUUAUGAUGUUUGCCGUCAGAAAGCAGACGGCAAAGUCAGACGGCAAAGAUUAAUCGGCAAAGAAUACUUUGCCGUCAGCUUUUUAUCUGACAGACGGCAAAUUCUUUGCCGUCAGCCGAAACUUCUUUGCCGUCUGCCUUAUAAAUCACAAACGGCAAAGAAAAGUGGUUUUGCCGUCAGCUAGACUACAUCUUUGCCAUGAGCUAUUUGUGUCUUUGCCUUCAACCUCGUAUAUCACAGACCGCAAAGAAUGGGUAAAAUUAAAAAAAAUACAGCAGGGUUGCUCCCAAGGGAUGCUGUCAACGCAUGCAAGUGCACCUUAUCUAAUCUUUCUUCAUCUUUUUAAGAGGGAAAGGCCUGUCCGUCAGUCCGUCUCUAGUGCCUUUCAUUCAACAUUAGAGGAGUACAAAAUGUAAACCGGACCGCGAGAGAACUAAAGUUAUAGAAUAGUCCUUAAAAUUUACAAAAAGGACGCUAAAACAUAAAAUGGAAAAGCAAUCAGGUCCUUCUUCGUCGCUGCAGAGGUCUGCUCGCCCAACCAUCCAGCCGGAUGCCCACCGCGCCACUCUAUCGUGCUCAGCUUGCCGCGCCGCCGCCCUGUCCUGCUCGUCGCGCCGCCGUCUGGACCCGCUCAGCUGCGCGGCUCUGCCCCAGCCGCGCUUGGGAGGCAUGGAAGGGAGUCGGGGAUGGGCAGUGCUCGCCAGGCGGAGUCCCCGGCUGCUGUCGCGGCAGAGCUCGCGAGUCAGGCACGGGAC